GAGGAUACAACUCAGUCACAGAGUGCGUGCUUAGCAAGCACAAUGUCCUGGGUUCAAUCCCCAGUAUUUUUG
This 72-nucleotide transfer RNA is filed under the name Camelus bactrianus (Bactrian camel). It matches the Rfam family "tRNA". Rfam says of the family: Transfer RNA (tRNA) molecules are approximately 80 nucleotides in length. Their secondary structure includes four short double-helical elements and three loops (D, anti-codon, and T loops). Further hydrogen bonds mediate the characteristic L-shaped molecular structure. tRNAs have two regions of fundamental functional importance: the anti-codon, which is responsible for specific mRNA codon recognition, and the 3' end, to which the tRNAs corresponding amino acid is attached (by aminoacyl-tRNA synthetases). tRNAs cope with the degeneracy of the genetic code in two manners: having more than one tRNA (with a specific anti-codon) for a particular amino acid; and 'wobble' base-pairing, i.e. permitting non-standard base-pairing at the 3rd anti-codon position. Lineage: Eukaryota; Metazoa; Chordata; Mammalia; Artiodactyla; Camelidae. RNAcentral also lists the same sequence under 1 other name. The record is from Rfam by way of RNAcentral.